GUAAAAGCGUCGAACAGAACAAGUAGAGCGUAAUUCUUUAGAAGAGAGUCCUUGGUUGGUGUGAAAGGAUAAAGAUAGCGUUAUCGAACACAUCUCGGAGCUGGUUUGCUGAAGCAUAAGUGAGUAGGUGAACUCGGGUUAAGCCCGUUAUAGCUUGUUAGUCUCGAACUAACAGAGGUUGAUACUGCGAAGUAUCAGCAAAUUGAGGUGGAACCACGUGAAUAUUAUUCUCGUCCUCUUG
Molecule: regulatory RNA element, 241 nt
Organism: Listeria monocytogenes EGD-e
Lineage: Bacteria; Bacillati; Bacillota; Bacilli; Caryophanales; Listeriaceae
Rfam family: T-box leader
About the family: Uncharged tRNA acts as the effector for transcription antitermination of genes in the T-box leader family. T-boxes are found upstream of many aminoacyl-tRNA synthetase genes and some amino acid biosynthetic genes usually in Gram-positive bacteria.
Source: Rfam